Molecule: ribosomal RNA, 305 nt
Filed under: uncultured bacterium
Lineage: Bacteria
Description: partial 16S ribosomal RNA
Rfam family: Bacterial small subunit ribosomal RNA
Source: RNAcentral
ACAGCAGUCGCCGCGGGAAUACGGAGGGUGCAAGCGUUACUCGGAAUCACUGGGCGUAAAGGACGCGUAGGCGGAUUAUCAAGUCUCUUGUGAAAUCUAACGGCUUAACCGUUAAACUGCUUGGGAAACUGAUAAUCUAGAGUAAGGGAGAGGCAGAUGGAAUUCUUGGUGUAGGGGUAAAAUCCGUAGAUAUCAAGAAGAAUACCUAUUGCGAAGGCGAUCUGCUGGAACUUAACUGACGCUAAUGCGUGAAAGCGUGGGGAGCAAACAGGAUUAGAUACCCGCGUAGUCCCUGUCUCUUAUAC